This 497-nucleotide ribosomal RNA is filed under the name uncultured bacterium. RNAcentral's name for it is "partial 16S ribosomal RNA". It matches the Rfam family "Bacterial small subunit ribosomal RNA", at positions 28 to 507 of the family's 1533-position model. The record is from RNAcentral.
GAUGAACGCUGGCGGCGUGCCUAAUACAUGCAAGUCGAGCGAACGGACGCGACUCUUGCUUCUCUGAUGUUUGCGGCGGACGGGUGAGUCACACGUGUAUCCCCUCCCUAUAUGACUGAGAUCACUUCGGAACACCGGAUCUAAUACCAUAUAAUAUUUUGCACCGCGUGGUUCAAAAGUGAGAUACGGUCUUUCUGUAUCUUAUCGCUGCAUACGCGCUUCAUUAGCUGGUAGGUAAGGUAACGGCUUACCAAGGCAACGAUGCAUGGCCGACGUGAGAGGGUGAUCGGCCACAUUGGAACUGAGACACGGUCCAGACUACUACGGGAGGGAGCAGUAGGGAAUCUGCCGCAAUGGGCGAAAGCCUGACGGAGCAACGCCGAGUGAGUGAUGAAGGUCUUCGGAGCGUAAAACUCUGUUAUUAGGGAAGAACAUAUGUGUAAGUAACUGUGCACAGCUUGACGGUACCGAAUCAGAAAGCCACGGCUAACUACGUG